CCCGACUGCUAUCAGAGUGAGAUUAAGCCAUGCGAGUUAACGUAGCAAUACGUGGCGCACGGCUCAGUAACACGUAGUCAACAUGCCCAGAGGACGUGGAUAACCUCGGGAAACUGAGUCUAAACCGCGAUAAGUGAGGAUUUCUGGAAUGGUUCCUGACUAAAAUCUAUAUGGCCUCUGGAUUGGACUGCGGCCGAUCAGGCUGUUGGUGAGGUAAUGGCCCACCAAACCUGUAACCGGUACGGGCUCUGAGAGGAGGAGCCCGGAGAUGGGCACUGAGACAAGGGCCCAGGCCCUAUGGGGCGCAGCAGGCGCGAAACCUCUGCAAUAGGCGAAAGCCUGACAGGGUUACUCUGAGUGACUUUCGCUAAGAAAGUCUUUUGGUACCUCUAAAAAGGGUGCAGAAUAAGGGGUGGGCAA
RNAcentral lists this ribosomal RNA (420 nucleotides) under uncultured Front Range soil crenarchaeote FRA0. RNAcentral describes it as "bacterial SSU rRNA". It matches the Rfam family "Archaeal small subunit ribosomal RNA", at positions 24 to 449 of the family's 1478-position model. Lineage: Archaea; Thermoproteati; Thermoproteota. The record is from RNAcentral.